RNAcentral lists this ribosomal RNA (497 nucleotides) under uncultured bacterium. Its description in RNAcentral is "partial 16S ribosomal RNA". It matches the Rfam family "Bacterial small subunit ribosomal RNA", at positions 28 to 507 of the family's 1533-position model. The record is from RNAcentral.
GAUGAACGCUGGCGGCGUGCCUAAUACAUGCAAGUCGAGCGAACGGACGAGAAGCUUGCUUCUCUGAUGUUAGCGGCGGACGGGUGAGUAACACGUGGAUAACCUACCUAUAAGACUGGGAUAACUUCGGGAAACCGGAGCUAAUACCGGAUGAUAUUUUGAACCGCAUGGUUCAAAAGUGAAAGACGGUCUUGCUGUCACUUAUAGAUGGAUCCGCGCUGCAUUAGCUAGUUGGUAAGGUAACGGCUUACCAAGGCAACGAUGCAUAGCCGACCUGAGAGGGUGAUCGGCCACACUGGAACUGAGACAGGGUCCAGACUCCUACGGGAGGCAGCAGUAGGGAAUCUUCCGCAAUGGGCGAAAGCCUGACGGAGCAACGCCGCGUGAGUGAUGAAGGUCUUCGGAUCGUAAAACUCUGUUAUUAGGGAAGAACAGAUGUGUAAGUAGCUGUGCACAUCUUGACGGUACCUAAUCAGAAAGCCACGGCUAACUACGUG